Molecule: long non-coding RNA, 2136 nt
Organism: Takifugu rubripes (torafugu)
Lineage: Eukaryota; Metazoa; Chordata; Actinopteri; Tetraodontiformes; Tetraodontidae
Source: Ensembl
CUAGUCAGAGGUUCUUUGGGUUUUUCUAAAAUAAGGGAGAUCUGUUUAUAUCAGAGAUGGGUGUGGAGUGAUGGGAGUGAACGCACCUGGAGGCUGACGUGAGAUGAUGAUAGCGAAGGAGGCACAAAUCCGUUAAUAACGAUGUCGAGGAGCAAAACUCCCUCAGAAUCCAGACCUCGAGCAACGUGGGUCACGCGGAGGAUCUCUCCUGUUGUGGAAACGAGAGAUGAGAAUCGAGAGAACGCUGGAAGAGUCUGUGUGGGCGAAUGGCGCCCCCUGUCGACUCAACUAUGAACUACAUCCCGUUUACAAAGGGAGGCGCUGACUUUGUUUAGCGUCUUUGAAUAUCAAUGACAAAUCCAAAUGUCUUGUAAUGUACAGCGUUGAUAGAAAAAGAUUCACAGUUGUGAAUCUGAAGACAUAGUUAAGAUUAAUUAGUUUAUUCUUAAAACUAUGCACUUGUUGUUGCAUGUGCACCAAAUCAACAUACUGUACUCCGAAGGAAGUAUAACGACUUAUUUGUUCAACAGUGCGUCCGCAUCCACUCUCACCUGUGUCAAACUCCAGCUGGGAUUCCUGUCUGAAGUGGCCGUGAGUGAAGGAGUAACCAUUUUUGGCUGCUCCCCUCUGCAGCACAGUGGUCCAGUAGAUGGGAGCAAAAACAGACACCAGCACCCUCAUCAGGGGGCCUGCAAGGAAACAGAACCAGAACUGACCUCAGCACGGAGUCAGCAGAGAGGAGACGUGUACGAGAAGAGAGGAGCAGAGGGUGUCCGUUCUUCAGCCAACUGAUCUGAGGAGGAGGGCUUCCCACCGCCUGACACUCCAGCGUCACAGCACCGUCCUGGGUCACCUGGACCUCUCUGGGCACUGUGGUCUCACCAGAGAUGGAUGGAGGAACUGGGACAAAACCAAUCAGAAGUAAAUGAGCAAUAAACAAGAUUCACAAAGGAUACUUAGCAAAACAUUCCUCCCGACCUAAAACAAACAGGGUGUAGAUUUUGGUCUGCCGGCCAGCCGGGCUCACAGCUAAACACGUGUACGUCCCGGAAUCAUCAGGGCUGAGCCUCAGCAGUGUCAGGGUGCUGCCUUCAGGGGUCACACUGCACAUGAUGAGAUCAGACAAAAGCAUCUCCAGUAAAUGGCUCGACGCCAGACAUAGAUGUGUAAACACUUAGUAGGAGUUAGGUAUGGAAUAUUUACCCGAUAUGACGACUGUCUGAUCCUUCUACCGUCACACCAUCCUUUAACCAGCUCAGGUGCGGUGUGGGGUUUCCAGCUGCUCGGCAUUCGAGGGUCAUGUCCUCUCCCAUGGGUGCACUCACCUCAGAGGGGUGUUCAGAGUCCAGGAUUGUAGGUGACACUUUGGAAGACAAAACAUACCUCUAAAUAUCCCUCUUUUUAGUGCUUUAAAUCAUGUUUAAGGCAUAAGCUUAGUUUAAACAUCUAAAUACCUUGUACUGUGAGUGCGUAGUCUUUUUGGGCUUGUCCCUCACUGUUCUUGGCCACACAGGUGUAAAGCCCACCAUGAGCCAGAGCGAGGGGCCCCAGCUCCAGCCUGCUCCCGCGGAUGGACCACUGCCACUGCAGGCUGCUCUCUGGGGGGGAAACCUUCAAUUUGACUCGCCCUCCAAAAUGCAGUGAAGAACUCGCAAUCAAAAUAAAUCAGUAAAUCAAAUAAAUGCUGUCAAAACUGACCAAUAGGAGUUCCGUCUUUCAGCCAGGUGAUACUCGGCACAGGGAACCCUGAGGCCUGGCAUGGCAGGGACACGUGUGAACCAAGGGUGUAGUUUAAGGACUCCCAGAGUGACCCUUCCAGGACUGGUGGAACUGUAGAUAUGUGUAGAUAUCAGGGUGUGAAAUGCUGAGCAUGUCAUUGAACAAGAAUACAUUCUGAGGAGAAAUGACAACAGGGCUGCUUUCGUACCAUGAACCGUCAGUCUGAAUGUCCUGUCUACCUGUCCAGCAACAUUGGAGACUUUACAAGUGUAGGUUCCACCAUCCGCCACCUGAGAGCCAAAAAUAAACUCACCGCAUUGACAAUUUAAUCGAGAGUCAGAAAUCUGACAGCAUUCCAACAGUCUGAACCAUUAAAUUUAAUCCAAUUCAGUUACCCUUCAAGGCCUUCCAGGCAGC